UGCAGAUGAUGUGAAGAAUAUUUGCUAUCUUAAUAAUUGAUGCAGACACCUCCACCAAGAUCACUGAUGCA
This is a small nucleolar RNA of Myxocyprinus asiaticus (Chinese sucker), 71 nucleotides long. RefSeq annotates it as small nucleolar RNA SNORD24. The transcript has a single exon. Lineage: Eukaryota; Metazoa; Chordata; Actinopteri; Cypriniformes; Catostomidae. The record is from RefSeq and is a predicted model, not a curated record.